GACGAACGCUGGCGGCGUGCUUAACACAUGCAAGUCGAACGGUAAGGCCCUUCGGGGUACACGAGUGGCGAACGGGUGAGUAACACGUGGGUGAUCUGCCCUGCACUUCGGGAUAAGCCUGGGAAACUGGGUCUAAUACCGGAUAGGGCCAUGGACUUCACGGUUUGUGGUGGAAAGCUUUUGCGGUGUGGGAUGGGCCCGCGGCCUAUCAGCUUGUUGGUGGGGUAAUGGCCUACCAAGGCGACGACGGGUAGCCGGCCUGAGAGGGUGUCCGGCCACAUUGGGACUGAGAUACGGCCCAGACUCCUACGGGAGGCAGCAGUGGGGAAUAUUGCACAAUGGGCGCAAGCCUGAUGCAGCGACGCCGCGUGAGGGAUGACGGCCUCGGUUGUAA
RNAcentral lists this ribosomal RNA (394 nucleotides) under uncultured bacterium. RNAcentral's name for it is "bacterial SSU rRNA". It matches the Rfam family "Bacterial small subunit ribosomal RNA", at positions 28 to 428 of the family's 1533-position model. The record is from RNAcentral.